AAUGUUUUUUUUUUUUUUCCUAAUGAAAGAUUGAGAAAGGAGAUUAAUUAAUUAAUUUUGAUAUCAGGAUGUGUUUGAAAAUAAAUCGCAGAUGAGAGAUUGUGAAAUUUUGUUUCUUGUUUAAAAAAAUUUAGAAAAUUUCUAAAGUGGUGCCCCCUUCUCUCGAUCCCUUAAGCACACGUUUUACUCGUUGGGUAAUCCAGCAUUGCGAACCACAUCACUUCGUGAACUUUGUAAUAUCGUGAUAUAGAAAGUAAUUACCUAAUUUAUAGUUUUUUUAGGAGACUACAUUUAUGUCGUUUACGUAGCUCAUACGUAAAUGCGUCUUUGAUACGAUGCAUCAUGGACGGAAGGCUUUAACAAAAUAAACCAAGUGGAGAAACGAGCCGAAUGUGGCUCGGAGCAACCAAUUAAGCAUCCCUGGUUCAAUCUAUUCCUCGACCGAUCGCCGAGCUUUUCGGAUACAGUUCGAAAAUAAUGCCCGCUUGCUCGCCCACGACACAACUUGCCUCCGCGAAGGUUGUCGCGAUUUUCUUCUGGCAUCGAGUCUCGUUGAUUAACUCGACGCUGCGCCGUCUGGUAUGCAACUCUUGGGAAUCAUCCAGAUACUGAGAGAGUCUGGUAUUUCGAUCGAGAUCGAUGUUUGAUUUAUUAGUCAUUUUUCUGGGAAGAAAGAAUCAGGGGAUUUAUAUUUCAACGAGUUUUUCGAGAACUGUUUUUUGCUUUGCAUAUUUUUUUGAUCGAAACUGUUGCUCACGCAAAAUUCGAGAAAAUCUACAAUUGUUUUUAAGAAAUAUAUUCGAUGGCUAUGAAUUCAUGAUAUCACCGAAUGUAGCGGAAUAUAAAAUUAAAUUUGUAAUGUAUAUUAACAGAUAUAUUUGGAUAACAUCAAUUUGGAUAUAAAAUUUAUUUCUUCGUUUCAUUUUUUCACUUGAUUAUUAAAUUUCUUAAUCGUGGAAAAUUAUCUUAUGUAUUUCCAUCUAGUAAAUAAAAUUUUUUCAAUUGUUCUUAAAA
Molecule: long non-coding RNA, 1014 nt
Organism: Apis cerana (Asiatic honeybee)
Lineage: Eukaryota; Metazoa; Arthropoda; Insecta; Hymenoptera; Apidae
Source: RefSeq, a predicted model, not a curated record